GGCAUGCAGUCGAACGAAUCCCUUGUAGCAAUAUGAGGGGGAAGUGGCGAAAGGGGCAGUAAUGUAUGGGUAACCUACCCGGGGGUCGUGGAUAGCCGUUCUAACGAGCGGGUAAUACACGGCGAUUCAGCGAGAAGGCAUCUUUUUGCUGGGAAAGAAUUUCGCCUCCGGAGGGGCUCAUAUCGUAUUAGCUAGUUGGUGAGGUAACGGCUCACCAAGGCGAAGAUGCGUAGCGGGUGUGAGAGCACGACCCGCGCCACUGGCACUGAGACACUGGCCAGACACCUACGGGUGGCUGCAGUCGAGGAUCUUCGGCAAUGGGCGCAAGCCUGACCGAGCGACGCCGCGUGGAUGAUGAAGGCCUUCGGGUUGUAAAAUCCUGUCGAGGGGGAUCAAGGGCAACUUGAGUGAUCCCUGGAGGAAGCACGGGCUAAGUUCGUGCCAGCAGCCGCGGUAAGACGAACCGUGCUAACGUUGUUCGGAAUCACUGGGCAUAAAGGGCGCGUAGGCGGCUUAUCAAGUCAGGGGUGAAAUCCGGCAGCUCAACUGUCGAAGUGCCUUUGAUACUGAUGAGCUAGAGGGAGGUAGGGGUCUGUGGAACUUCCGGUGGAGCGGUGAAAUGCGUUGAUAUCGGAAGGAACGCCGGUGGCGAAAGCGACGGACUGGAUCUCUUCUGACGCUGAGGCGCGAAAGCCAGGGGAGCAAACGGGAUUAGAUACCCCGGUAGUCCUGGCCCUAAACGAUUGGUACUAGAUGUGGACUUAACAUGGGUUCACAGUCGAAGCUAUGUUUUAAGUACCCCGCCUGGGGAGUAUGGUCGCAAGGCUGAACUCAAGAAUUGACGGGGGCUCACACAAGCGGUGGAGCAG
RNAcentral lists this ribosomal RNA (869 nucleotides) under uncultured Planctomycetota bacterium. RNAcentral's name for it is "bacterial SSU rRNA". It matches the Rfam family "Bacterial small subunit ribosomal RNA", at positions 52 to 940 of the family's 1533-position model. The record is from RNAcentral. Lineage: Bacteria; Pseudomonadati; Planctomycetota.